GACGAACGCUGGCGGCGUGCUUAACACAUGCAAGUCGAACGGAAAGGCCCUGCUUUUGUGGGGUGCUCGAGUGGCGAACGGGUGAGUAACACGUGAGUAACCUGCCCUUGACUUUGGGAUAACUUCAGGAAACUGGGGCUAAUACCGGAUAGGAGCUCCUGCUGCAUGGUGGGGGUUGGAAAGUUUCGGCGGUUGGGGAUGGACUCGCGGCUUAUCAGCUUGUUGGUGGGGUAGUGGCUUACCAAGGCUUUGACGGGUAGCCGGCCUGGGAGGGUGACCGGCCACAUUGGGACUGAGAUACUGCCCAGACUCCUACGGGAGGCAGCAGUGGGGAAUAUUGCACAAUGGGCGGAAGCCUGAUGCAGCAACGCCGCGUGCGGGAUGACGGCCUUCGGGUUGUAAACCGCUUUCGCCUGUGACGAAGCGUGAGUGACGGUAAUGGGUAAAGAAGCACCGGCUAACUACGUG
Molecule: ribosomal RNA, 468 nt
Filed under: uncultured bacterium
Lineage: Bacteria
Description: partial 16S ribosomal RNA
Rfam family: Bacterial small subunit ribosomal RNA
Source: RNAcentral